This 587-nucleotide long non-coding RNA is filed under the name Androctonus crassicauda. The record is from RNAcentral. Lineage: Eukaryota; Metazoa; Arthropoda; Arachnida; Scorpiones; Buthidae.
GUGAGUUAUAGACUUGUAAUUAGAAGGUAAUGCAGUUUAACUUUAUAGACUUUAAUUAACAGCACUUGUCUAGAAAUUAGUCAAGUCUUGGUAGAUGGGGGAAAUUUCAAAACCUUGUGUGGGUACAGGCAGGCCAUACUUAUAUUGACAUCUAAAUCUUGCCACUUCAAACUUCACAUGGAGGAAAAUACAUAAUUCAAAAAACUGAAAAAGUUAUUGGGUCCUCUUUCCAAGAGGGCCUGCACCAAAACCAAACAAUUUGUCAACACCUUAGUUUCUCAAUAACUCCCAAUUGCUCCUUAACAGCACACACACAUCCUGAUGUGCCCUUGGGGAAACACUCCCCAUUUUUCAUUGAAAAAGUCACUUAAAUAUUGCCAGAUGUGCAUAAAUCAAACACUUAGAUCUGGUGAUUUAUUGUUAGAAGUAAAUCAUAAUAAUUCAGAUCUGAUCUUAAAGACAGUGAAACUUGCUGAUAAAUCAGUAACUUUUUCUUUGCACAAAACCCUCAACACACCAAUGGGUAAGCAGUGAGCUUGAUUUAUUAGAUGUUACUGAUGAGGAGUUGUCCUAAAUCUAUUUUAUUU